GGGAAUGUGGCUUAGUGGUAAAGUGCUUGCCUAGCAUGCAUGAAGCCCUGGGUUCGAUUCCUCAGAACCA
Molecule: transfer RNA, 70 nt
Filed under: Dipodomys ordii (Ord's kangaroo rat)
Lineage: Eukaryota; Metazoa; Chordata; Mammalia; Rodentia; Heteromyidae
Rfam family: tRNA
About the family: Transfer RNA (tRNA) molecules are approximately 80 nucleotides in length. Their secondary structure includes four short double-helical elements and three loops (D, anti-codon, and T loops).
Source: Rfam by way of RNAcentral